GCGUCCCCAUUUCGCCUUCAGCACCUGGUGAUGUAUUAGUGAUUGAUAGAUUGAAGGCUUUUCCACCAGUGUCUGUCCACCUGGACCUGCUUCUUCCUGCCAGAAAUGACCUUAACCAGAAGAACCACCAUCUUUGGUAGUUGUAUCAAGCGGAGACACUCUCUUCUAAAAAGAUGCAACUUAACACCUUACCUGCAUAUUAUCCAGUUGUACAGAAUUUGCCUAUGGAUGUCGCAAAACUUCUCACUGUCUUUGCUUUGUUAUUACAACAGAUACAGGGAUUAAACAGAAUAGCCAUAAAAUAAAAUAAAAUAAAAUAA
Long non-coding RNA from Polypterus senegalus (gray bichir), 320 nucleotides. RefSeq lists it as uncharacterized. Lineage: Eukaryota; Metazoa; Chordata; Cladistia; Polypteriformes; Polypteridae. The transcript is spliced from 2 exons. The record is from RefSeq and is a predicted model, not a curated record.